Long non-coding RNA from Haplochromis burtoni (Burton's mouthbrooder), 267 nucleotides. RefSeq lists it as uncharacterized. Lineage: Eukaryota; Metazoa; Chordata; Actinopteri; Cichliformes; Cichlidae. The transcript has 3 exons. The record is from RefSeq and is a predicted model, not a curated record.
GUUCAGCACAGCCGAAGAUUCUGUGUAGCAUGUUGAACGCAGGUGCAAACUCACUCAGAGAAACAACCGUCCACCUUUAUUUUUGGUGUUAAUGUAUUACCAGGCUGUGCUGGACUUUGUGAUCAAGCGUAUAACUAACACAAAAUGGCAGUCUUUUUCAAAAUGGCAGUAUUGAACUCCAGGAUGAAUUCCCAGUGUGGUCAACCCACUUUGAAACGUCAACCAUGCACUUUGUUUUUUCACCGCACUGUGAUCCUACUCCUUCUG